Molecule: long non-coding RNA, 947 nt
Organism: Nomascus leucogenys (northern white-cheeked gibbon)
Lineage: Eukaryota; Metazoa; Chordata; Mammalia; Primates; Hylobatidae
Exons: 3
Source: RefSeq, a predicted model, not a curated record
GCCCCGAGGAUUCUCAGCACCCCACCUAUGGUCUGGCCAGCAUAGGCUUGCUAGUUCCUUCUUGGUCAGAGGCAGCUGCAUGGGGGAGGGAGGCCAAGGGUUUGGUCUAAGCUGUGCCCUGCCACCUGGCAGGAGGCCCACUCACAGCCCAAGUCAUGGAAACAGGCUGGAGCAGCCCAGGAGAUGGGCCCAAGAUGUUCUGAAUCCCUUGGGUCCGAGUGUUAUGUUCCAGUCUGCCUUCCAGCCCCCAUGGAAGCUCCUGCUGGGAUGGUGUCAUCUAUGAGUUUUGAACCAGUGUGGUAUGGUCCUUGGGAGCCCUGCUCUGAGCUUGCCACACUGCUGAGCGCGCCCACUGUCCUGACCAGCGUCUCAGUGGUCCUGACCCCCAAUGUGGGCAGGGGCUGGGCAGGAGGGUGGGGUCUGCUGUGGGUUCAGAGGACCCCACCUCCUGGCUGGUUUACCUGCUGUUGCCCAUUUUCUCUGGGUACUGCUGGCCAGAGGACUUUAGCCUACCCCUGAAGAGCCUGUCCAUGUCAUUUUCCUACUGCCAUAGACACCCUAAGCCCAGGGCCCCUUGAGGCCCAGACUCAGCCUGCCCACUGGUGCCGGAGACGGAGUGGAGUGGGCAUGGAUCUGAGGGAUGCUACCUCUCCCUUUCCCACUUGAGGACCCUGGGGAGAGAUGGGGGCGGGGAAAAUGGAGGUAUGAAUUUGGGAUAAGAGGAAGUGAUAUCUGCUUGCAGGUCAGCCCCUGCCUUGCAGGAUGAGCUGACUUGACUCAGGCCCUGUGAGAUAGAGGGCCCACCCUGGCCCCGCCCACAGAUCCCCUGCUUCUGUUGUGUUCUGUUGUAAAUCAUUUGGCAAGACUGUACUUUGGUAACUGCUGCCUAACUUCCCUGUGUUCUAUUUGAGAGGCGCCUGUCUGGAUAAAGUUGUCUUGAAAUUUCA